AUGAACGCUGGCGGCGUGCCUAAUACAUGCAAGUCGAGCGAACAGACGAGGAGCUUGCUCCUCUGACGUUAGCGGCGGACGGGAGAGUAACACGUGGAUAACCUACCUAUAAGACUGGGAUAACUUCGGGAAACCGGAGCUAAUACCGGAUAAUAUAUUGAACCGCAUGGUUCAAUAGUGAAAGACGGUUUUGCUGUCACUUAUAGAUGGAUCCGCGCCGCAUUAGCUAGUUGGUAAGGUAGCGGCUUACCAAGGCAACGAUGCGUAGCCGACCUGAGAGGGUGAUCGGCCACACUGGAACUGAGACACGGUCCAGACUCCUACGGGAGGCAGCAGUAGGGAAUCUUCCGCAAUGGGCGAAAGCCUGACGGAGCAACGCCGCGUGAGUGAUGAAGGUCUUCGGAUCGUAAAACUCUGUUAUUAGGGAAGAACAAAUGUGUAAGUAACUAUGCACGUCUUGACGGUACCUAAUCAGAAAGCCACGGCUAACUACGUG
This 496-nucleotide ribosomal RNA is filed under the name uncultured bacterium. Its description in RNAcentral is "partial 16S ribosomal RNA". It matches the Rfam family "Bacterial small subunit ribosomal RNA", at positions 29 to 507 of the family's 1533-position model. The record is from RNAcentral.